Amphiprion ocellaris (clown anemonefish) is the source of this 418-nucleotide long non-coding RNA. NCBI's taxonomy places the organism in Eukaryota, Metazoa, Chordata, Actinopteri, Pomacentridae. The record is from Ensembl.
AAACUCUCUCCCGUCUGAGUGUUGUCUGUUUCUCUACUCGUCCUGUUCUUUCCCUGCAGAAUGUGAGAGUGUGUGUCAGCAGAGUCCAGGUGGUGUCCUGUCCAGGUGAGUCAUCAGAGCGAGUUCGGCUGCACAGUGGCUUGUUGGUUGGUGUCGCCUUGCUACCAGAAGAUCCCUGGUUUGCAUCCCGGCCUUCCUGGGAUGUUUCUACGUGGGUUUUCUCUGGGUGCUCUGGCUUCCUCCCACAGUCCAAUAACAUGGCCUCCAGUGUGAGAUGCUGUUUGCCAGCGGGACUCUGACAGGAGGUUAAAUGUGGAAAUGAGACCUGAGCGUCUGAUCUCUGCGACCCAAAUAAGGAGAUGAAGCUGGGCUGAAGAGCUCGGCUGGCUGGUUUGUUUGGGUGGAGGAUGGAGUGGAU